This 497-nucleotide ribosomal RNA is filed under the name uncultured bacterium. Its description in RNAcentral is "partial 16S ribosomal RNA". It matches the Rfam family "Bacterial small subunit ribosomal RNA", at positions 28 to 507 of the family's 1533-position model. The record is from RNAcentral.
GAUGAACGCUGGCGGCGUGCCUAAUACAUGCAAGUCGAGCGAACGGACGAGAAGCUUGCUUCUCUGAUGUUAGCGGCGGACGGGUGAGGAACACGUGGAUAACCUACCGAUAAGACUGGGAUAACUUCGGGAAACCGUAGCUAAUACCGGAGAAUAUUUUGAACCGAAAGGUUCAAUAGUGAAAGACGGUCUUGCUGUCACUUAUAGAUGGAACCGCGCUGCAUUAUCUAAUUGGUAAGGUAACGGCAUACCAAGGCAACGAUGCAUAGACGACAUGAGAGGGUGGACGGCCACACGGGAACUGAGAGACAGUCGCCACACCUGAGCGGGGCAGCGGUACGGAAUCUUCCGCGAUGGGGGAGUGCCUGACAGAGCACCGCCGCGUGAGUGAUGAUGGUCUUCGGAUGGUAAAACUCUGUUAUUAGUGAAGAACAUAUGUGUAAGUAACUGUGCACAUCUUGACGGUACCUAAUCAGAAAGCCACGGCUAACUACGUG